Molecule: long non-coding RNA, 447 nt
Organism: Saccostrea cuccullata (small rock oyster)
Lineage: Eukaryota; Metazoa; Mollusca; Bivalvia; Ostreida; Ostreidae
Exons: 2
Source: RefSeq, a predicted model, not a curated record
CUCUUGUCAUGUAAACCGAAAGUGGCAAGUUAAAAUGGGUAUAAUUUUCAUUCAUUUUGAUUGAAAAGCUCGAACAAUGGAUCUACGAUUUUCCCCGUGUAUAUAGUUUUCUAUCAAUUAGUUUGUAGAGCGGAUUAUGUCAGUUAUUACCCACAUUAUAACUUUAGUCCUCGGCUUUCUGUGGGGGUUAGCCAUGUAUUACCUGUAUUGGCCAAAGAAACAACAAUGCGUUGGGGGUGACCAGGAAACUAAUAUUAUGGAAGCCGAUUCGGACAAUCUGUGCUCUAUUUGUUUUGAGAGGAAUAGAAACUUGGCCUUUCAGUGUGGACACACUUCAUGUGAUCAGUGUGCAAAAUUUUUAAAUUAUUGUCAUAUAUGUCGCUGUUCAAUUAGAGAAAGGUUAAGACUGUAUCUGUGACAAACUUUAUAAUUUAAUUAUUCCUUACA